This 254-nucleotide ribosomal RNA is filed under the name uncultured bacterium. Its description in RNAcentral is "partial 16S ribosomal RNA". It matches the Rfam family "Bacterial small subunit ribosomal RNA", at positions 524 to 776 of the family's 1533-position model. The record is from RNAcentral.
UACGUAGGGGGCAAGCGUUAUCCGGAUUUACUGGGUGUAAAGGGAGCGUAGGUGGCAUGGCAAGCCAGAAGUGAAAACCCGGGGCUUAACCCCGCGGAUUGCUUUUGGAACUGUCAGGCUGGAGUGCAGGAGGGGCAGGCGGAAUUCCUGGUGUAGCGGUGAAAUGCGUAGAUAUCAGGAGGAACACCGGUGGCGAAGGCGGCCUGCUGGACUGCAACUGACGUUGAGGCCCGAAAGCGUGGGGAGCAAACAGG